This is a non-coding RNA of Mycena epipterygia, 72 nucleotides long. Lineage: Eukaryota; Fungi; Basidiomycota; Agaricomycetes; Agaricales; Mycenaceae. The record is from the annotation of a GenBank genome assembly.
GCGUUCGUGGAUCAUGGUGAUCCCCUCGCUUCCGUAGUAGAGGAUGAGGAGGUUCGAUUCCUCCCGGAGGCA